UACGGGAGGCAGCAGGGGGGAAUAUUGCACAAUGGGCGCAAGCCUGAUGCAGCCAUGCCGCGUGUAUGAAGAAGGCCUUCGGGUUGUAAAGUACUUUCAGUCGUGAGGAAGGUGUUAAGGUUAAUAACCUUAGCAAUUGACGUUAGCGACAGAAGAAGCACCGGCUAACUCCGUGCCAGCAGCCGCGGUAAUACGGAGGGUGCGAGCGUUAAUCGGAAUUACUGGGCGUAAAGGGCACGCAGGCGGUUAAUUAAGUUGGAUGUGAAAUCCCCGGGCUUAACCUGGGAAUGGCAUUCAAGACUGGUUAGCUAGAGUCUUGUAGAGGGGGUAGAAUUCCGAUGUGUAGCGGUGAAAUGCGUAGAGAUGUGGAGGAAUACCGGUGGCGAAGGCGGCCCCUGGACAAAGACUGACGCUCAUGUGCGAAAGCGUGGGGAGCGAAACAGGGAUUAGAUACCC
Molecule: ribosomal RNA, 456 nt
Filed under: uncultured bacterium
Lineage: Bacteria
Description: bacterial SSU rRNA
Rfam family: Bacterial small subunit ribosomal RNA
Source: RNAcentral